UAUUUCAAUGACAGCCAGAGCAGCGGAACUGCGCCUGUCCUACUGGAUGAUGUGAUAUGCGAUGGUACCGAAUCUAGCAUCUUCUCCUGCACGCAUAACAGCAUCGGUGUCCACGACUGUAAUAGCAAUGAAGCUAUCUGGUUGAAAUGUACUGGAAACCAAGCGCCACUAUCAAGCUGUCCAGAUCUGGAUGAGUGUUUGACGCACAAUCACAACUGCUCCGCGCAAUCGACCUGUACGAACACUGAUCCUGGAUUCGUGUGCACUUGCGAGGCCGGCAACGGCUCUGUGUGUGCCGAUCCAGAUGAAUGCCAGUUGGGUCUAGUCCAAUGCAACCAAAGCGCUCAAUGUGUAAACUACGACUUUGGUGCGUAUUGCCUUUGUUCCAACCAGCCAGCCGAUAUACGACUAGUCCCGGUCCCUGUCUCACCAGGGAAUUCUGGACGAGUAGAGGUGUUCACAAGAGGAGCGUGGGGAACAGUGAGCUACGCCGGAUGGACGGCUGCAGAAGGGGAUGU
Sycon ciliatum is the source of this 518-nucleotide long non-coding RNA. RefSeq lists it as uncharacterized. The transcript is spliced from 4 exons. The record is from RefSeq and is a predicted model, not a curated record. Lineage: Eukaryota; Metazoa; Porifera; Calcarea; Leucosolenida; Sycettidae.